AGAGUUUGAUUAUGGCUCAGGAUGAACGCUGGCGGCGUGCCUAACACAUGCAAGUCGAACGGACUUACACAGAAGCAGGAGAUGCUUGCAUUGACUAACGGAAGUGUAAGUUAGUGGCGGACGGGUGAGUAACGCGUGGGCAACCUGCCCCAUACCGGGGGAUAACACCUGGAAACAGGUGCUAAAACCGCAUAAGCGCACAGCUUCGCAUGAAGGUGUGUGAAAAACUCCGGUGGUAUGGGAUGGGCCCGCGUCUGAUUAGCUGGUUGGCGGGGUAACGGCCCACCAAGGCGACGAUCAGUAGCCGGCCUGAGAGGGUGGACGGCCACAUUGGGACUGAGACACAGCCCAAACUCCUACGGGAGGCAGCAGUGGGGAAUAUUGGACAAUGGGGGAAACCCUGAUCCAGCGACGCCGCGUGAGUGAAGAAGUAUUUCGGUACGUAAAGCUCUAUCAGCAGGAAAGAAAAUGACGGUACCUGACUAAGAAGCCCCGGCUAACUACGUGCCAGCAGCCGCGGUAAUACGUAGGGGGCAAGCGUUAUCCGGAUUUACUGGGUGUAAAGGGAGCGU
This 572-nucleotide ribosomal RNA is filed under the name uncultured bacterium. RNAcentral describes it as "bacterial SSU rRNA". It matches the Rfam family "Bacterial small subunit ribosomal RNA", at positions 8 to 572 of the family's 1533-position model. The record is from RNAcentral.